RNAcentral lists this unclassified non-coding RNA (386 nucleotides) under Hevea brasiliensis (rubber tree). The record is from RNAcentral. Lineage: Eukaryota; Viridiplantae; Streptophyta; Magnoliopsida; Malpighiales; Euphorbiaceae.
UAAUACUAGUACAACCAAAACUAGAAGCGAUGAGACAUUUCAAUCCAAAAAAGCAUGUGAAUAAUGUGAGAACUUGCCCAAAUACACAUCAUCAUUUAAUCAAUAUCAAGCUUCAUGGGUUUGAUGAAGUUGAUGCUCCAGACCCUGCAGGUGGGGGUCCAGAGCUUGCAGAUGCUGGAGGUGCAGUCCUUGGUGGAGGGACAGAAUGCUGGUGCUGUUGUGUGGCUUGUGGAGCCUGUGGCGGGGGGACAGCUGAGUGAUAUGAUGAUGAUGGUGGAGGAUACUGCUGAUAAGGUGGCAUCAGCGGCACAUACCCAUAUGAAGGAUAAAGUUGUUGGUGAUAUUGCCCGUGUGGCAGUGGCAUACCCUGAUAAGGAUAGUGCUGC